RNAcentral lists this non-coding RNA (1034 nucleotides) under Pongo abelii (Sumatran orangutan). The record is from RNAcentral. Lineage: Eukaryota; Metazoa; Chordata; Mammalia; Primates; Hominidae.
CCGGCGUAUUGGAACCUCUCUCGCGAUCCCGCACCCAGCUUGAAUUCAGCGAGAAUCGAAAACAGUCCAACAACCAUCGUAUCUACAGCAAUCCUUAGAGAACAAUUAAGGCCAGCUGACAGUAAAGAACAGUCAGUGUGUACUUGAAAUCCAGGCUGAGACAGCAUUGGUCUUCUGGCAGCUGCAAGACUGACCUAUCAACUGAGGCAUUUCUUCAUUCCUUGCCAUUGUCUCCUCCUCUUGAGAUCGCCAUCAGGCCCAGCCACUUUUCUACAAACAGGCAAUAGGACUCCCGCUGCCACCCUGCCCAGAUUUUAGUCCUCUAUUGCUGAUAAAGUGAGCAAAGAUAUGUGGCACUUCCUGAACUCAAAUACUCUUCUGAGCUGAUUCUAAAUCCAAACAGAAUCAACCUACCUCCUAUUACCUCCCUCUAAGCUCUGUGCUCCAUUCUCUCAUUUCAGUCUCAGCUCCAGACAUCAGCAAAUUCAAUGUGAUACAUCAGGUGCCAUCACAGGACUUCCCUACUUGAAAAUCAAGCAAUCGUGUCCCUGAAACACACUGUCUUUAUUCAUGCUCAAUUACCAUAAAGUAGAUGCAACUCUAAGAACCUAUGGAUUUUUUUAUUGACACUAAUAGAUCAUGAUUUACAGCAAAAUUUUAAAAGGUCCAAUUUUACUCACAUAAGAAACAAGAAGAAAACAUUCAGCAAGAAGCAUUUCUUUUGCUUGAUCUUUCCCAGCUAAAUAUGACUUUGAAAAAGAAGAGCACGCCUCAUUAGCCGUAAUUGUCUGAUUAAUACAAAGAAAUGGACUCAUAUCACGGGGUUCCACUACCCCUAUGGUAGUGUUUACUACCCUUAUUUCACUCAAUGAUUACAGUUACUUUGACCAGAAUGCCUACCUUGUUUGGCAUUUUGGGAGAGGAAGCAUAUGACUGUAAACCCUCUUCAAACUUUCAGACUUACGUUUGCUUCUUCUAAGUCCAUCGACUUUAUACAUAAAUGACUUCUUUUUAAAAAUAAAUAAAUAAAUAAA